AUUGAACGCUGGCGGCAGGCCUAACACAUGCAAGUCGAACGGUAGCACAGAGAGCUUGCUCUCGGGUGACGAGUGGCGGACGGGUGAGUAAUGUCUGGGAAACUGCCUGAUGGAGGGGGAUAACUACUGGAAACGGUAGCUAAUACCGCAUAAUGUCGCAAGACCAAAGAGGGGGACCUUCGGGCCUCUUGCCAUCGGAUGUGCCCAGAUGGGAUUAGCUUGUUGGUGAGGUAAAGGCUCACCAAGGCGACGAUCCCUAGCUGGUCUGAGAGGAUGACCAGCCACACUGGAACGGAGACACGGUCCAGACUCCUACGGGAGGCAGCAGUGGGGAAUAUUGCACAAUGGGCGCAAGCCUGAUGCAGCCAUGCCGCGUGUGUGAAGAAGGCCUUCGGGUUGUAAAGCACUUUCGGCGGGGAGGAAGGCGGUGAGUUUAAUAAGCUCACCGAUUGACGUUACCCGCAGAAGAAGCACCGGCUAACUCCGUGCCAGCCGCCGCAGUAA
This 504-nucleotide ribosomal RNA is filed under the name uncultured bacterium. RNAcentral's name for it is "partial 16S ribosomal RNA". It matches the Rfam family "Bacterial small subunit ribosomal RNA", at positions 30 to 523 of the family's 1533-position model. The record is from RNAcentral.